RNAcentral lists this long non-coding RNA (32369 nucleotides) under Lactuca sativa (garden lettuce). RNAcentral describes it as "long non-coding RNA (LSAT_LNC004886)". Lineage: Eukaryota; Viridiplantae; Streptophyta; Magnoliopsida; Asterales; Asteraceae. The record is from RNAcentral.
GUUGUGUCAUGUCAACCCGUGUACAUAAACGGGUCAAAAUCUUUGGCCCUAACCUGCUAACUUCAUGUCGGGUCCGUAUCGGAUUGUCAUGUCGUGCCAGAUUUUCUCAGGUCUAGUUUUUAUCGUCCUAGUUUAUUUUUUACAAUAUUGUAUCCGGUGAUAACAUUAAAAUUACUUUUAAAGCUAGGUUUAUAAAUUUAUAUUUAUCAUUUAAAAUCUAUAUUAUUAGCUUUUUAACAACUAAAAAUUAUUUUAUCACACUCACUUAAUAAGAAAAAAGGGUUUUGUGCACCAAAACCCUACAAACUUGCACAUUUGUAUUUAAAUGGUCACUAAAAUAAAAUUUGGACCUCAUAGACCAUCAAAUUCAAAAAAUACAUUUUUAAAUAAGCAAAUGUCUACAUUAUUUAGUCGGUUUCCUAGUUCUAUCCAUGAUGUGGCAUUGACUGUCUAUUGUCAACGAUUUACUAUCCUAGUCGGCUAUUCCAUGUGUGUUUUGGGUAAUAAAAAGGAUAAUAACGGUUGAUAUCCUCUUAAAUGAGUCCGAACGAUGCAGUGAAGUUCUAAAGGACGAAGAUCGGCAAUAUUGUUUCCGUUUUCAGUAAGCUUUAUCUGGUUGUUGCUUAUUUUCCUUCUUCUUGUACAACAUCUGAACUACAUGGCAAAGCCUAAUGAUAAUGCUAUUUACUUGGAAGUCGAUCUUAACUUUAAUGACGUUUUGGUUCGUCACCCAUGCUCUUAUGUUGGAGGUGAGCAUUAAUUGUUUAUUGAUGUCGAUUCUGUUAUAAUGGACUUCGUUGGAUUUGUGACUUUCCUAGAAAGAUUUACUGGAGUAGACUUUGAGAAAUUAUAUUACUCCUUACGUAAUCGUCCUUUAUCCAGUGGCAUUAGGUUCAUAUAAAAUGAAAUGAACUAUGCCACUUUAUAGAUACGGCUUAUGAAGACGCGAAAAUCCCAAUAGCCAUAUAUUUGGAUCACACAGGGGAUGGUUUGGAGGAUUGGUUCGAAUUAGGUAGUGAUGGAACCGGUUCUGUAAUCCAGAGUGAAGAUAAAGAACCUUCAGAAAUAGACCAUAUGUUUGGAGACAUUGAAUUUGAGGACGAAAUCAUUCCAGGUGAUUUUAUUCCUUUAAACAAGAUUGUUGAUGAUGAAUUACCGAAAAAGUUGUGUCCAAAUAGGGAGAACAAUGACAAUAGUGAAAAGGGAGUGAAUGCAGAUGAUGUAGACCAUUCUGUUUUUAAUCAUGCAAUACGUUGGAAGCAACACAAACCAAUUUUAGGUAUGAGGUGUGAGAAUCUGGGACAACUUAUGAGCAUGUUAUAUAAUUAUGUUAUUUCUAAUGGAUCAAUUAUGUUUUAGGCAAAAUGAUAGUAAGAGGCUUUUGGUAAUGUGUUGUAAAUGGGCUUGCAUCUUCAGACUUUGGGCAUAUUAGAUGAGUGAAGAACAGUUAUUUCAAAUAAAAUCACUAAAAGAAGACCAUCAAUAUUCUAGAAACUUCAAGUUAGGUUCUAUUAUGAAUUACAAAUCGCUUAGUUCACACUACAACAAGGAUAUGCUGCAUAGAAAAACAACUAACAAUUAGACAGCUUAGUCGGAGAUCAUUUAGCAGUUUGGUUUUAAGGUUAGUUUAUGUCAAUAUAAAAGGGUCAGGAAGCAUGCCAUGACUAUUAUUAAAGGCACUCUCAUUGAACAUUAUUCAAAACUAUGGUCAUAUAUAGAGGAUAUUAGAAGAUCAAAUCUAGUUUCUACUGUGAAGAUAGUUGUAGUUUCAAUGCUAGAUAGAAGUCCAUACUUUAGUAAAUUUUAUGUUUGUUUAGGUGGUGUGAAGAAAGUAAACCUUGUAGGUUGUAGAAGAAAGUUGGGAUUAAUGCAUGUUUCUUGAAAUGAAUUUUUCAUGGGGAGUGGUUAUGUGUUGUUAGAAGAGAUGCUAACAAUCAAAUUUACCCAAUUGCUUGAGCAUUUAUUUGUGUUGACAACAAGGAAAAAUUGAAAUGGUUUCUAGAAUUCUUAAUUGAUUAUCUUAAUCUAGAAUUAGGUCAAGGUUUCACUGUGAUGUCAUACCAAAACAAGCUAUGGUUUUUGUACCCAUAUUUUUUGCAUUGCAUUUACUAAUGAUUAUUAAUUUACUAUAUAUUAAGGGAUUAUUGAAGGUUGUGUAGGAGUUUCCACCCUAAGCUGAGUAUAGACAAUGUGCAAGGCACAUACUCUAAAACCUCAAGAAAAGUUGUCGAGGGUCUCAUUUUGAAAACAUGACCAAGAGUUAGCAGGAAUCCAACCAAGUUACUAGUGAAACGAUUCAAGAAAAAUCACACUUCCCAAGUAUUGAUUAAUAGCAUUUUGUUUAUAUUGUUUGUGAUACCCCCGGCCGCCGGCGGAACGUCGGGCGGUGCGAAUGUAGGGAAAUUGGAUCGAGGCAUAUAUAUGUAUAUAGAACAUAACACAAAACUAUAUCACAAACAUUACUUUUAUUUAUUAUAAAUUAUUUUGGUAUUACAUUGUUUAAAAAGUCAAGCACACAUCCUCGACACAACUAUCGUCCACACUCAUCUCCAUGAGAAUACAUAUAUAUUUGAAAAUGUCAGCAUAAUGUUGGUGAGUGCACAUGUUUUAUAAUUUAUUUGGGCGUAUUAAUUUAAGAUCCUUUUUCUUUUAGAAAAACCUUUCUUAAAGUAUUUUAUCAACCCUAGCUUACUAUCUUUCCAGGAUAUCUAACGAUCCUAUCUUAUUAUCUUUUAGGAUGUUUUAUUAAUCCUAAUUUACUAUUUUUGUAGGAUAUCUAAAUAAUCCUAACAUAUUUUAUCUACCAUUUUAAGGCAUCCAUAAUGGUAGUUUGAUCUCUAAGGUGUUUGUAAUGUAUUACCAUGAGCCCCCAUAACCGACACUUUUUGACUAGUGAUUUCCCGUCCACGACGCUUCAUUGGAUGUUGAAUAGUGAUUAAUAAGAAAUUUAGCCGGCAGGAAUUGUAGCUAGCAAUCGAGGUGGGGGUGUAAAUCCCCGUAUAGAUCUAUACAUAUAUUUGUAGCUUUUGCAAGAUUAACGAUUAUAGGUAUCGGGGUUGCCGAAAUUAAUCAGGCUAAGGAUGAAUAUUAACAUCUCACUAACGCAUUAACCUUAGGUAUUUUAUCUUUUAUCUUUGAUCUCUUAUCUUAGUGAUUUCUUAUAAUUAUCAUAAUAUAAACCCCUUUAAUUUAAUAUUUGAUAAUUAUAGCUUUUAAAUCUCAUAAUUAUUUUGUAUGUAUGUAUGUAUGUAUGUAUGUAUGUAUGUAUAUAUAUAUAUAUAUAUAUAUAUAUAUAUAUAUAUAUAUAUAUAUUAUCUUGUGAUACAUAUCUAUAUACCCUAAUUACGGUUAUUUUGAAAAUAGGAUAUUUGGGUAGGGUAAUGAUUAGGUACGGCACAUAUCCCUAUAUUUGAGCAACAUUAGUUCUAAGUACUAUGUUAUCCUAGAAAUUUGGUCAUUAUAACCUCUAGGUAUUAUCUAUUCCUUGACUAUCGGGUAUCAUAACUCUUAGGCAUAGUAUCAUAACUUACAACUAGGUAUGGUAUUUGUAACAUCCCAUUUUAAAGAGAUUAAUUAGAUAAUAAAUUAGGAACCCCGAGAUGUAAUUAUUAUUAUUAUUUUAUAUUAUUUGAGCCUAAAAUCGAAUAAUAAUUAAUAAAGUGUUGGUUUCGGGAAGCCAAAUGUCACACCCCAAAACCGAAGGCGGAAACAUUUCCGGGGUUGACUCUACGUUGAGUAUCAAAUCCAAUGUACAUAGUAAGUAAAGUAAAACAACCAUUACAUUACAUAUAUAAAAGUUUACAUUUGUUUCAAAAGUAAGUUGUAUAGUUGUGAUACAUAGUAUAUAUAAAAAAAAUGAGACAAGUCUUCUGCGCACACCAUCUUUUGAUAAAAGUAUCUUCGGGUACCUGUUCUAAUGUUGACCUGAGAAUACAAGCGAUUUGAAAAUCAGCAUAACACUGGUGAGUUCAUAAGCGGUUUUGUUUUGUGAAAAUGUUCAAGUUUCCUUUCUGUUUCUGAAAAUGUUACACACACCAAGAAAAUCCCAUAUUUUCUUAAAAAGGUUGAUUAUUGUUUCACAACAUGAAAAGUAAAGUUGUACACUGAAAACAUGUAUAUUCUUGUGGAAAUGUAUAGUUUGGUUAUCUGUUUUGGUUAAGUACAAAUGUAUUCCCAGGAAAGUCCCAUACUUUCCUGAAUUGUUGGUUAUCAAAUGUAAAAGAUAUAUUCUGAAAAACAUGUUUACCCUUCUAAGAUGUAAAGUUACCCGGUUUAUUACCCUUUUUUAGUUAUGUAUAAUGUUUCCCCAGGAAAGUCCCAUACUUUCCUGAAUGUUGGUUAUCAAUGCGGAAGAUGUUUACAGAAAACUGGUUAUCUUGUGAAAUGUAUUACGUUAUUCGUUAUUACUAUUAAGUAAAUAUAUGUUAUCCUAAUUGCGAGUUCCAUAACCAUACGAUAGACUAGAUGUGGCAAUAAGUAGUCCACAUCACCUUAUGACUUUCGUCACCCUUGAACCAUUUCGGUUCAGUUGUAGCUAGCAGCCAGGUGUGGGGUAGUCAGCCCCGUAUAGAUCUAUACACUCAAGUCACGCUCCCUAUCCUAGAGUUUCUGGUUACGGGUGAAGUUCUCCACUCGCGUAUCUCUGUGGAGUGUUCGCCGAUGACGUGUCUCCAAUCAUACAGGACUAACAAUUUACUAGUAAUAAUAUGAUAAUCCUCCACUCGCGUAUCUUUGUGGAGUGUUCCCGAGGACAAAACUGUGUACAUGUUUUAUGUUCAAAGGUUCUAAUGUCAUGCUUUUAACUGAUAAAAUAUGGAAAACCAUUUGUGAAAUAUAUAAAAUAUAACAGUUUACAUUUCCAUUUCACAAAUAUAUGUUUACGUGAUCUACAUGUUCAAACGGUUAUCAGUUGUAACAAUCAGUGUUAAAAGCAUAUAAAAUAUGAAACAGACACAUGAAAACAAGUUUUGAGUACAAGUAAUUCCUUGUACUUGCAUAUGUUCCCCCCGCCCCCCCCCAAAAACACGAAAAAAACNNNNNNNNNNNNNNNNNNNNNNNNNNNNNNNNNNNNNNNNNNNNNNNNNNNNNNNNNNNNNNNNNNNNNNNNGAAACACACACAUGAAAACAAGUUUUGAGUACAAGUAAUUCCUUGUACUUUGCUUGUAUUCCCCCCUGAAAACAGUGAAAAACAGUGAAAAAGGGUAGGGGUAUGAACUCACCAGACGAGGAAAUGCGACUGUUUCGAGUACUAAACGUUGGUUCGGGGCUUGAUUACUCGCGAUGUUCCUAUGUAAAAUGGAAUAUUGUCCAAAUAUAUCUAAUUAGAUUUACAAAUACUAAUUAGAUGGAAUAUUACACUCCAAUGAGCUAAAACACUUCAAAACGAGUGUUUGGAGUGACCCGAGUGACAUCUACGGACUUGAAAUGAAGCGAGGGACUUGGGAUUUGAGUUUACUCCUCAAGAGUAAAAUCCCUAAUGGAGUUUGUGGCCAUAUAUCCCCUACAUACAUGAGUUCACGGCCGUGAACUCAUGUUUGAGUGAUUUUGAGUGUUAAAUGGCUUAUAUGGACAUGGGAAAUGCUAGAAUGGAUUUUUCUAAUGCCUUGGAUUAAAUUGUAUGAACACAUACAUCACAUAUGGGAGUUCACGGCUGUAAACUUGGAGUUUACGGCCGUAAACUCCCCAAAGCUCAAACCAUAUUUAUUUUGUGAUGCUUAAGACAAUCAUAUGUGGUUCUAACUAAUGUUCCAAGCCUUGGUAUGAAUUUAGGGCAUCAUUUGACAUGUAUAAAGGAGUUUACGGCCCAUGAACAUGUUCUUGGGGUGCCUUGGCCGUAAACACCUAAUUGGAGGGUGUUUGAUAUGUUUAAGGUCCCCAAACUAUUUUUAGAUGAUUCUAGGAUUUAUUCUAAGGCUAUUCACUACAAGAAAAAAGGCCUUUUACGACGCUCAUUGCGCGUCGUAAAUGGCUCAGACGACGCGCAAAUGCGUGUCAAGGAAGGCCAUGUCAUAAAGAUAGACGACGCGCAUGUGCGCGUCGUCUAGAGACGACGCGCAUUUACGACGCGCAUUUACGACACGCAUUUACGACGCGCGGUUACGACACGCAAUGCGUAUCAAGGAAGGCCCUGUCAUAAAGGAAGAUGACACGCAUUCGCGUGUCGUAACCUUACGACGCGCGUGUUAAUGACACGCAAUGCGUAUCAAGAAAGCCCCUGUCAAGAAAGGCCAUGUCAUAAAUGAAGAUGACACACAUUUUUGCGUAUCAUAAUUUUAAAUGUUCUAAAAAAAAUAUAUUUAUAUAUUUAUUAAUUUUUAAAUUAAAUUUGCAUUUAAUGUCUCAUAACAAGAAAAUAAAAUACCAUAUAUAAAAAAUACUAUCCAUUACAUAAAAUUUUUUGUCAUACAAAUAACAAACUGUAUUUUAUAUUCAUACAUAUGAUUACAUUAUUCAUUAAAAAAAACAUAUACAUACAUCUUCCCCUAAAAUGUUAUUACAUGAUGUUGGCCACUUCAUUGAUGGAUCACCAAGAGGAAAAACAACAACUAACCUAAAUGUUCCAUGAUGUGCCGAUACUCAUGUCCUGUAACUUUAAAUAAUAAUAAAUAAUAAUAAAUAUUAAUUGGAAGUAGUGAUAAGUUAUUAAAUCAAACAUACCACACCAACACUGUUUUUGACAAGAUUGCCUCUGUUUUCUGCACUUGCUUGAUGUAGCAUCUGUUUCACAACCAAUCCCCCCAUGCUGCAAUACAAUAUAAUAAUAUAUUAACAAGAAUACCAAAAUGGCUAAAAGAGAAAUUCUUCUGUUUUUUCUCUUUCAUUCUUAAUUAAAUAUUUCAACCUAUGAGUUACAAAUACAACAGGUCGAUCUCCAAUACGUGCUGCAAUAAGCUUUUCCAACAGCAUCGAGCUAACUUCCUACAAAAUUUCACAUUCCAAUUUAUUUACAUUUCCAAUAACCAAACAUCUCCAAAUCUCAUUUAUUUUUUAAAUAUAUUUCUAAUAACACACCACAAACCUGAAGAGGCAAGCUUGAUCCAGACCAUUGUGUAAGAUUCGUCUGCAAAACAAAAGAUAUAACUCAAACUUCAUUUACAAUUUACAAUCAUGUUUUUAUACAAAAACAAUUUAUAAUUUUAUAUAAUCACAAACCUUGUGCAUCAUAUGCUUCAAUUGCUGAUAACUUCUCAUAAUCAUCACUUAAUAAAAAGCGGCGUAACAGAGGAAUUAUGCCAUAAUCGAUUAUUUUCUUUUGAGAACUUACAGGAGGUGUGAGGCACUUUGUGGUUGCAUUUGGUUUGAGGAACUUCUUUGUAAUCAUGUGUUACCAGGUCUCUCAGAAGACUUCACUUCACUACCAGGUUUAUUUGUACUACUGUCUUUGAUGCAAUGAAACCGAAGAAGAAAUAUAUUUUUUCUGAGUAAAUGACCUAAAUACUCUCCGAAUCGUAAAUCAUAAUAAGAAGUAACAGACCUUGUAGGAGGCAAUGCAGAGGUCUGGCCAGAUGGCCGAGCAUGAUAAGCACUAUCCAUUGUAGGAAACAAAUCAUUGAGCAAGAAUACUAAACAUAAAAUAAGCAUAAACAAUAAAUAAAAAUUAUAUAAUAUAAAUAUAUACCUCUGGAUUAUUGACUACAUAACUUGGUACCUCAUCUUGCCAAAACAAGUUUAUGUUUUCUGGAAAUAGUGAAGCCAAGUAACACAAUACCUGAAAAUCCCAUGAAGAGAAAAGUAAUUAUCUAUUAUUAUUAGUAAAAAAAACUUACAAAAAAAAAACUUACCGUUAAAAUGGGCAACUUACAAGAAAAAAAAAUAACUUACUGUUAAAAUAGGCAAUUAAACUGCCAUUACAGGAGGAAUUACCUAUCAGUAACUAAAAUGGCUAACUCUAUAACUUAAAGGGUAAAAUGGGCAAUUUACAAGAAAAAAAAAUUAAAAAACAUUUACAUAUGCAUGAAUAUAAAUCAUGAGUCUUAAAUGCCCUCUAAUGAUGACAAAAUAAGGCUUAUUGUCUUAAGUGCCCUCUAAUGAUGACAAAAAUAUGACAGAUUUACCCAUAUAUAGAAUUCAAGAUAUUACCUAUAUUUCCACUUCUCUAGAUUUCUUUGCACCGAUGCUUUUCUUCUUGCUAAACCUUCAACUUUGAAAAUUUAACCACAAAAUUGUCAAAAGCAGAACAUCAUUUAUAGGUCAAUUUUGGUAAUUUUGUAUAUUUACCAGAGAUUUCUUCAUGCGAUAUAUUGCUUUCCUCUUUGUUCAAUCGAUAGUUAUUAGUCGUUCUCACUGCAUAAGUCAACUUAACUUAGUAAUAUUACUUCUUUUUUCAGCAUUAUUAGGGUGAAAUACAUCAUACAUUUAUUUUUUGUACCUGUUCGCAAGAUUGGCAGAUUGAUGUUUGGAGGUUGUUGCAACAAGUUUCCAUCAACUGGAUCCUCAUGAGGAAACUGAAGAGGGCUUGCAGCAAGCUGUAAUAAGGCACGUUCCUGAAAUGAAACUAUUCAGUUAGUGACAUUGACAUUAAUAAUUAAUUACAAGCUGAAUUUUGCAUAAUAAGAUAUUAUAUUAUAUAUACCUUAUCAGUUGGGAUAUCAUCAUACACAUUCACCUUCCCACUAUAAAAUAUUGGCAUCUGUCCUUUUUCCUCUUCUAUCACACUACCAAUCCUGGAAGAUUCAAUUAUAACUUUAGUCCUUUUCCCAUUUCAACUUAAAGCAUACUCUCGAUAUUUUUUGUCCCCAUAUAUGUCAUUGAUGGCAUGAAUAUCGAUUUUGCCUAUAGAAUCAUCAUCACCUGUUUUCAUUCCAUCAUAACAAAUUUAAAAGAAAUUUAAAAAUAUAAUGAAACAAGAAUGUGAUAAUUGUCAAGUUGGUGAACUUGACACCUUGCUAAGAAUCCUCCCUUGCCUUUUGUCCAGCCGGAAUGACAACUUCCAAUGGCAGAGAUGCAAAUGAUGACCAAUGCUCAUGCUUUGACCUUGCUAUGUCAACGCAUAUACCUUAAAAACAAGAAAGAUAAGGCAUCAUAACAAACACAACAUAGAUGGAAAAAAGAUUCAUUUAUAUGAAGAUUAUCAUGUUGCGCAACUAAACCCCAAGCCAUCACCUUUCUAAAACCACCUCUUGUUGAAAAUAUUCAAAAACAAGUAACCUUACAUUUUGUGAAAAUUAAAGUCAUAUGUCUCAUUGAGGCAUUUCAUCAAACAUGUGAAGUGCAAUUGGGUUUUCUACUAAAUUCAUAAGUAUAAAUGGAAGCACUUAUUCUCUGCACCAUGUUGAUGAUCUGGACAAAAUUUUCCAUCAUAUUCAUCAACAAAGGACCUAGUUGACAAAACAAUUUGACCCAACUGAAAAACUUACAAAUAUGUUAGGGCUAUGAACCCCAGACCAGGAGGGAGGGGUUGCACAAACCCACCUCUAGGAUGAUUUCUAAAAUACCAGGGGAGAUUUCUUUUUCUUUGUGCAUAUAUCAUAUGUAACUUUUGCCAGUUGUGAUAUGUCCCAUUUGUGCUGUAGAAGUUUUUUUUUUUUUUUUUUUUUUUUUUUUUUUUUANUUUUUUUUUUUUUUGUUUUUAGGUGUAAAAAGAUUUCAUCCUCCAAUACAGAGACGAACACCAUCAUUAUGAGACAGAUUAGAAAUCACACUGCAGAAGAUGCCUACAAGGUAAAAACCUAAUCAAUUCAGAGAUAUUUUAGAGUUGGAAAUUGAAUUAAAAUAGGAGAACUUACCCUCCAAAUGUUGCUCGAGCAUGUGGAACUGCUCUUGUAGGUUACAAGCUUGUGAGUUGAGCAAUAAAAGCCAAAGAACACAAUAUGAAAAAUAUUUAGUAACAUGGGUUUACCUACCGUACAUGGGUUCUUCUCCAUCAUCAAAAUAACUGUUGUUUCCUGAAUAAAUCCAUUAAUAGAGUGACAAGAAAAAAAAUAAUUACGCAAACACCAAGGGGUUAAGCAAGGAAUCGAAGGUAUUUUUUAUAAAAAUUUCUUUUUGGGGAUCAAUUAUAGAGAUGUUUAACGGUUAGAAUAGAAGAACUGAUGAAAUAUGUUCCAGAUUUCCUUGAAAAACAAAUGAGAAAACCAAUAAAAGAAUGACAAUGUUGUAAAUUUUUUUACAUAAUUACAUUUUGUUGAAGAAAAACGAACCAGAUUGAUAACGUCAAACCUGGAAACAGAGCAUGGUAACCCUAAACAGUAAACAUAUCGAUUUCAGUGUUUGUCUUCAACUUCAACUGGGAGAAAGGCGUUAAAUGGUAUAAGGUACAAAUGGUUUGUGGAGGCAGGUGGAGAGAGAAUGAUAACGAUAGAGGGAAAAGUAGACGACGAUGAAGUAAAAUCAGGUCUCCGUUGGGAAGAAGUAGAUGGCGAUGGAAUCGAGGUAGGAUUUGUGAAGGCUUUGCAAUCGGUAAUAAAUCGUUUAAUCAGAGAGCAAUCGAAAGGAACUGGGGUAAUAACCCCCAAAUUUGAAACAACUGAAUUUCGGAGGUGGGGGUGGGGAAGAGGUGAGCGGAGUUCGUCGGUGGGCAGUGAAGCGGUGGAGGUUUGAGAAUCGAGAGAGAACAAAGAAAGAAAAGGGGUUUUCGCGGGGAUAAGCUAGGGUUUUCAGCUGGUGGAAACAAAGCGGGGUUUUUAAUUUUUGGGAUUUCAUUUCCCCCGGGAUGGAUGCGCGUUUCAUUAAAAUUUAUAAAACGACGUGGUUAGACGACGCACAUUUUAUUUAAGGUGCCCUCCGUGUUUUUUUUUCGUUUUUUAGACACUAAUUUUAGGGCACGCAAAAAAUGUGUGUUGUAUAUCCUUUAAAUUUUAGAAGAGAUGACAUUAUUUUUACCUCACACACUUUUGCGUAUCGUAAAUCCGUGCGUAUCGUAAAUUGCGCGUCGUAAAAGGCUGUUUUUCUUGUAGUGAUUGGUGGUGUUGGAUGGCUUUCUAACAUGUUUAAAUGAGUUUACUCCCCAAGAAUGAGGAGUUUACGGCCCAAGAAAGUUCCUUGGCCAUAAACUCAUAUUUUUCCCUCAAAAUCCAUGUUUAGGGUGUUCUAAGUCAGGGUUUGAAAGCAUUAAGGUCAUAUCUAAGUCCCAAUGUUGGUUUGGAAGGGUUAAAUUGCUCAAAAACCCAUGUUUUUAUGUGUUUACGGCCCAAGCAUGCUCCUUGGACGUAAACACAUGUUCCAGGUCCAAAAUGAUAAUUUAAACUUAAAUUUGAAGGCCUNAGGCCUAAGAGGUUAAACAACAAGUUGGGGAUGUUACCUCAAAGAUUUGGAGCCUUAAUUCAAUGUUUUGGACCUUGAAUCUUUGAUGAGGAGAGAAGUUAGAGAGAGAGUAGUGAGAUGAAGCAAAAGCUUCAAAUGAAGGCUUAGAACACUUUAAAUAGUGUUUGAGAAUUGGACACGGUGGAAUUCUACCCGAUACCGACAUUAGACGGGGCUUUUGGUCGCACCCGGCCAAGUUGCCGUAACCCGAUAUGGUUGAUUCUAGAAAUGUUCCGAUCACUAGAAUGAGGUGUUAGAAUGAUUUAUAAAUGUAUUAGGACACCCAUUAAGUCAUUUUAGAUAUUUACAAUUUAAUGACUUAAUUAAAUGGCUAAAUCGGAAACGAAUUUGAAAACGACGCUUGGUUGAUCGAAUUUGAUUACCAAAAGGGUUACAAGUAAUGAUACGAAAUUUCGGGUUGUUACAUUAUCCCCCCGUUAGAGGGAAUUUCGUCCCGAAAUUCAAAAUUAAUAUACAAUACAAGAUAAAAAUCAUGGAUGUGGAAAGACAUGUGGAUACUGUUGUUUCAUCGAGUCUUCACGCCCCCAAGUGAACUCUGGUCCCCGCCUGGCAUUCCAGCGAACCUUCACUAACGGGAUGCGGCUUUGCUUUGUACGUUUGAUAUCUCGAUCCAUGAUUUCGAUUGGUUCCUGCACGAAGUUGAGGUUUUCAUUGAUAUCAAUCUCAUCUAAGGGAAUCACUAGGGUCUCAUCAGAUAAGCAUUUCUUGAGAUUCGAAACAUGGAAGACGGGAUGAAUGUUACUGAGCUCAUGAGGUAAACGAAGUAUAUAGGCUACCGAACCGGUCCUGGCGAGGAUCUCGAAGGGUCCAAUGUACCUAGGGUUAAGUUUUCCACGCUUUCCAAAGCGUACCGUGCCUUUCCAGGGCGAGACUUUCAACAGGACACAGUCUCCAACCUGGAAUUCCAGAGGUUUCCGACGGAUAUCAGUGUAACUCUUUUGGCGAUCUCGUGAAGCUUUCGAUCAUUCUUGGAUUUGGAUGAUCUUCUCAGUGGUUUCGCGGAUGAUUUCAGGACCAGUGAGAGCACUGCCGGGGACUUGACUCUUGGCCAGCUGUGUGUCCCCCAACUCGGCCCAGCACAGAGGGGAUCUACAUUUACGACCGUAUAGGGAUUCAAACGGGGCAGCCGUGAUGCUGGUGUGAUAACUAUUGUUGUACGAGAACUCGAUCAAAGGUAGAUGUGUGUCCCACGACUUUCCAAAAUCAAUGACACAUGCCCUAAGCAUGUCCUCCAGGGUUUGGAUUGUUCUCUCACUCUGUCCAUUGGUCUGAGGAUGAUACGCCGUGCUCAUGUCUAGUUUGGUUCCAAGAGCCUUCUGGAGGGACUGCCAGAAUCUGGAGGUAAACCUGUUAUCUCGAUCAGAGAUAAUGGACGCAGGUACACCGUGCAGUCGAACUACCUCUUGGAUGAAAAUUCGCGCGAGUCUUUCCAUCUUAAAUGAUUCUUUGAUUGGGAUGAAGUGAGCGGACUUUGUCAAACGAUCGACAAUUACCCAAAUGGUGUCGUACCCACUCGGACACUUGGGUAGUUUGGUGAUGAAAUCCAUGGUAAUCAUCUCCCAUUUCCAUUCGGGUAUCUCGGGCUGCUGGAGCAAACUCGAGGGUUUCUGGUGCUCAACUUUAACCUUGGCGCAAGUCAGACACUUGCCCACAAACGUAGCUAUCUCAGCUUUCAUGUUUGGCCACCAAUAUUGUUUCUUGAGAUCCAGGUAAAUCUUGUCCGAACCCGGGCGAACAGAGUAUAUGGUCUUGUGUGCUUCCUCCAUGACAAUCUCCCUGAAUUCCGGACUUUNCCAUGACAAUCUCCCUGAAUCCUCCGGACUUUGGAAUCCAUAUUCGAUCCAUGAAGCAGUAGACUCCGUCACCUCUAAUCUCAAGUUUCUUUUCCAUUCUUCUCAAGGCUUCGAUCGACACGUUCUCGGGUUUGAGGGCUUCUAACUGGGCUUCUUGGAUUUGCAUGGAUAAGUUGGAAUGUAUGGUCAUCGACAGGGUCUUCACCUUUCGGCUCAAACUCUUCUUUCGGCUAAGGGCAUCUGCUACCACAUUGGCCUUGCCGGGAUGGUAACGGAUUUCACACUCAUAAUCACUGAGUAGUUCUACCCAUCGUCGUUGCCUCAUGUUCAAGUCUUUCUGAUCAAAGAUGUGCUGCAGACUCUUAUGGUCAGUGAAGAUCAUACACUUAGUUCUGUAGAGGUAAUGUCUCCAAAUCUUCAGUGCAAAGACUACGACUCUUAAUUCCAAAUCAUGUGUGGUAUAGUUGACCUCGUGUGCUUUCAGUUGUCUAGAAGCAUAAGCAAUUACCUUUCCUCUUUGCAUAAGCACACAACCUAAGCCUUGAUUAAACGCAUCGCAGUAGACAACGAAAUCCUCUGUCCCUUCGGGUAGGGACAGAACAGGCGCGCUGCACAAGGCUUUCUUCAACGUCUGGAAUGCAGUUUCUUGAUUAACACUCCAACAAAAGGGUACACCUUUCUGUGUUAGAGCGGUUAAGGGUUUGGCGAUUCUGGAAAAGUUCUGGAUAAAUCUCCGAUAAUAGCCGGCGAGACCCAAGAAUUGUCGGAUUUCUGUGGGUGUCUUCGGUGUCGACCAAUUCUCUAUCGCUUUAAUCUUGGAAGGAUCUACAUAAAUACCCUCCUCGCUUACCACGUGACCGAGGAAAGUUACCUUCCGAAUCCAGAACUCACACUUGGAAAAUUUCGCGUACAACUUCUCGGAUCUAAGGGUUUCCAACACUAACCUCAAGUGUUGUUUGUGAUCUUCUUCACUUCGGGAAUAGACAAGUAUGUCAUCAAUGAAUACAAUGACAAACUUAUCCAGAUAAGGACGACACACCUGGUUCAUCAGGUCCAUAAACACUGUCGGUGCAUUGGUUAGACCGAAGGGCAUGACUACGAAUUCGUAGUGUCCAUACCGAGUUCUGAAAGCUGUUUUGGAAACAUCACUCUCAUGAACUCGUAGCUGAUGGUACCCUGACCGAAGGUCUAUCUUGGAGAAGUAACUGGCUCCCUGGAGUUGAUCGAAGAGGUCAUCUAUUCGCGGAAGAGGAUACAUGUUCUUGACGGUCAACUUGUUCAGCUCGUGAUAAUCAAUACACAUCCAGAAGGAUCCAUCUUUCUUCUUGACAAACAAUACCGGAGCUCCCCAGGGUGAGGAACUCGGUCUAAUGAAUCCUUUACUGAGCAACUCAUUGAGUUGACUGGAUAACUCCUGCAUUUCUGCUGGAGCUAAACGAUAUGGAGAUUUCGCUAUGGGAGUAGCUCCAGGAAUUAGGUCAAUACAGAACUCGACCUGACGCUCGGGAGGAAUCCCUGGAAGCUCUUCGGGAAAUACAUCAGGAAAGUUACAGACUUCGGGGAUGCUCGCGAGGUCUUUAACUUCCUGUUUCUCGUUGAUUACAUGGGAUAAGAAUGCAAUGCACUCCUUUCUCAGGAGCUUUUGAGCAUUGAUGCAAGAAAUGAUACGAAGAUUGGUACUGAGUUUAUCGCCAUAGAUUACGAGAGUUUGAUUCGAAGGAAGGUUGAGACGGAUGGCUUUUUCGAAACAGAGGAUAUCAGCAUGAUUGGGACUCAACCAAUCCAUGCCAAUGAUGACAUCAAAGCCCUUUAUGGAAAUUGGCAUCAGAUCGAUGGGAAAUGAAUGGUCAUUCAGGGUAAGGGUACAACUUAUGAAUAUCUCGUUAGCGCUUUCUUUCUCACUGUUAGCCAUCUCGACGGUAAACGUUUCAGUUAAAGGUUGGGGAUUAUGUUUUAGGUUAUGCUUGAAUGAAUGACUAACAAAGCUUCUUUCAGCACCCGAAUCGAAAAGAAUACUAGCAUAUGAGUUGUCAAGAAGGAACGUACCCGAGACUACAGUAGGAUCGGUGACUGCUUCCUCCCGUCCUAUGGCUAGGACUCUCCCGGUAUUAUCAGCUGUUGACUUCUUAGGGCAGUUCCUUUUAAAGUGCCCAACCUCUCUACAGUUAUAGCAGGCUUGACCAACGCCUGCUCCAGAUGAUUGAUUGGCCGAUUGAGCUGGAGCUUUACAGAAUCGGACCUUGUGCCCCUUCUUACCACAAUUGGUACAGGAUAGUUCUCGGCAGGGGCCGAGGUUGUGGUGAUAUUUGCACUUGUCACACAGAGGAAGCCUACCAGCAUAUCUGCUAGUAGGAGUUGGAGUUGUGGAUUCCACAACAGAAGCAACAACAACGAGGGUAGUAGCAGCAUGAACUGCUACAGUCUGCUGUCUCAUGGAGGAUCCUUGGGAAGAUUGACCCUUCUUCUUCUUCCAGAACUUUCUCUUCUGACCACUCCUUUUAGUCGGCUCGGGAGCGGUGGUAGUUUCCUCGUUGUCAUCACUGUGAUCAAUUAGGGUUUGGGCUAAACUCUUGGCACUAUCAUAGGUAUCCGGACGUGCAGCUAAAACAUUUCCCUUUGUUGGCUGGGUCAGCCCCUAGAUGAACUUUUCUAUCUUUUUACUUUCAGGAGUGACCAAUCCCGGGCAGAGAAGUGCGAGGUCAUCGAAUCGAGAAGUGUAUGUUGCAAUAUCGAAACCCUUCAUCUUCAGGUUCUAGAGCUCGUGCUCUAGUUUCUACAUUUCACCACGGGGACAGUAUUCGGCUAGCAGGAGUUCUUUCAUGGCUUCCCAGCCCAUGGCGUUGGCUACGGGUAGGGUCAGAGAUUUGACUCGGCCAUUCCACCAAGUCAAGGCUUUAUCAAUGAAGGUACAAGCUGCGAACUUGACCUUAUCAGAUUCCGCACAGGCACAGAUUUCAAAGAUGGAUUCGAUUUUCUCGAACCAUCGGGAUAAGGAAAUGACACCUCCAGUGCCAUUGAAGGAUGUUGGUUUUGCAUUCAUGAAAUCCUUAUAGGAACCCUCCUUUCGGUGUCCUUUGGAAAACCUGAUGUUUUCCUAAUACUUUAAAUUACGUGUUUUAUAUAUUGUUAUGCCGUUGCGAUGUUUGUAUUCGAUAAUUCCAGGUGACAUUGGAUUAAUUAUGGGUUGUGAGUUGUUAUAAUCACACAUUAAUGCAAAUGACUAGCUUACAACUAUACAAACGAUCCCUUAGGCGUCGUCUGUACUAUUCACUUAAUCCAACCACCCUGACUUCUCAUAGCCCCACAACCUAGGAGAAAAGAGGGUGCGAAGCCCCCGUUAUUUCCAUAAGUCGUUCAAGGCUAUCGUGAAUGCGAAAGGCCCUUGGCCCGACUCGCAUUUGACUUCUCGACUUUACUAGCAGUACCAAAGGACCCUUGUGGCCGAACAGCACAAAAGCUAUUCAAAGUCCUUUUACACGGAAUUAGGUCGUAUAAGACCCAACAACAUGUAAGCGCGUUUCCUUCGGGCCUAAAGAUCAUGUCAUUGGGCUAGCUAGGCCCAACAAGCACGAUUUGAAACUUUCAGGCCCAAAGAUGGUGUAUUGACUUCUUCUGAAUUUCCGCGUGUGUAUUGACUUCCCGUAAAUUUCCGCGUGUGUAUUGAAGUAUCAUUUUUUAUUGAUUUUUGAUUCGUUAUUGAUUCGAGACCGAAUCAAUUCGUUUGGUAACGAUUUUGGUGUUGAGGGUGUAUUACGUUUCGCCGGUAGUCGUGGUACUCGUAUUUUAUCUUAAAGGAUUUACUGUUUUAAACAUUAGAAUUUUUCUUUUUGAUGCCCCGUCUUGGAUAAAAUUUAUACUUUUAACCCUUUAUAUAAAAAAAUUUCCAUUUUAGUCCUUAAACCAUUUUUAUUGACACUUUAAUAUCAAAACUUGUUGAAAAGACAUUUUUCAGCCCAAAUUUACUUGAUAAACAGUUUCAGUCCAUCAAAAUGAAAUUUUCUCGAUUGAAACCUCCAUUUUUGCAAUUUUUACAAUUUUGACCCAAAAUGGAAAAUUUGUGCAUCUUUGGUCGCUUUUAAAUUUGAAUAGCAUUUUUAACCCUUGAAAUGGACUUGGUACACUAGUAGUCCCCUGUUUUACAGAAAUGUGCAGUUUUAGCCCCUCCAAAUUAAAAAUCUCGCAAUUUGGGGCUUUAUUGGGCCGAAAAGUCCAUUUUUGGCCCAUUAUGUUUAAAAAUUCACAUUUUAACCCUUCAAAAGUGUAAAUUUUCAGAAAAUACAUAUUAGAAACUGUUUUGACUCAUCUCAACCUUCAGAAUUUAUAUUUUGUCGUUUUGGGCCCUUUAGUUUUGUAUUUUUAGCAUUUUGAGCCCAAAAAUGGGUUUUAAGCCCAAAGAUGUUCAUAUUAACCAACUUGGUUAUUUUUCUAGACUUGAUUUGUGUGAAAUAAUAUAAGUUAUACUUAUUUCAUUCAACAUAUUGUAGAUCUCGGUUUCUAAGUUCUUUUUGACUAGUACCAACACCACAAUCACAUAUGAUCAUAUAUAUAAGCAUAGAAAUCACACAAGGCAUACAUAUACUCAUAGAUCUACACAUUUGCUUGUAUUCUCCCCCACAAAACUUAUAAAAACCGAAAAAUAGGGGGUAUGAAGCUCACCUUGAGUUGGGUUUCGUUUUUGGAGAAGAUUGGAAGAAGUUUGAUGUUGUUUUCGGCUCUAACAAGUCUUCCCUUGUUGAUUUCGAACUUAGGGAGUUUCUAAGAGAGUGAUCAUGAUUUUUGCAUGAUUUAGAAGGAGAUUUUUGAUAAAACAAAGAAUCUAGAUCAUAUAUCCAAGCAUAAUCUUACCUUAGAUGAAGAAUUUGUGGAAAUAUCUUCUUGAAAAACCUUUAAAAUUCGAGAUCUUGAUGAAGAGUGGAGGGAGUUUACUUGAGAGAUUUAUGAGAGAAUUGUGUGUGUGUGUGUGUUUGGAAUCGGCCGAGAAUGAGAGAGAGAGAGAGAGAGAGAGGGAGAAGAAGAGAGUGCUUGCAUGGAAAGAUGAGAUUGCAUGGAUGUUUGAAGUGUAAAACAUGGAUAUCCCCCAUAUAAAAGUGAGGUGUCAUGCAAUAAGUCAACUUAUUCCUUUCCUUUAGGCUUGGGCCGAGAAUGGGGAGGGUGAGAGGAGGUUUUUGGGGUUGUUGCCCUUAAGCCCAUGUUAUAGUUAAGUUGGGUGAUUUUUGGCCCCAAAAAAAAUAUAAAUGUGAUUUUUAUGCUUUAUUAGGCUAGAUUAGGUUAAUUAUAGUCCAAAAUGGUUCAUAUAAUUAAUCUAUUUCUUUCUAGGCCCAAUAUGGCCCAAAAUAUUGAAUUAAUUGGAAAUGGGUCCAAUUAGAGCCCAUUUAUGAGUUCUAAGCCCAAGAUAGUCAAAUUGGAAGCUUAUUGGUCCAUUGGGCCCAAUAAGAAAGUCCUAGUCCAAAAUGGACCUAAACAAGAACUUCUAGGGUUUCCAAUUGCUUGUUGACUAUUUGUAGUGCUUGUAUGGUGUAUUUGAUUGAAAUUUUGUUGUCAUAGAGUAAGCAUCAUACAUGCCCUUAUGUUUUUGGAUUCAUAAUUUGACUUAAGUGUUGUAGUUACAAGGCACAAAAAUUCCUGAUUGUGACAUCAUCCCCCCGUUAGAAGGAAUUUCGUCCCGAAAUUAUUUUGAAAGCUAGAUUUGAGAAUGCUAGAAUAAGUGAGGGUACUUUUGUUUCAUUUGAUCUUCGCGUUCCCACGUGAAUUCUGGCUCACGCUUCACGUUCCACCAUACUUUCACGAUCGGGAUGCAACUUUGCUUAGUACGCUUCACCUCCCUAUCCAUAAUUUCAACCGGUUCUUCAACGAACAGUAGAUUCUCAUUGAUUUCAAUCUCGUCAAGGGGAACGACGAGUGUUUCAUCCGAUAGACACUUCUUUAGAUUAGAGACAUGGAACACGGGGUGUACACUGUUUAGCUCCGCGGGUAGCUGCAGUUUGUACGCCACUGGACCAAUUCGGGCAACGAUCUCAAAAGGUCCAAUGUAUCGUGGGUUUAGUUUUUCGGUUUUCUGAAACGAAUGACUCCUUUCCAACGUGAAACUUUUAACAGCACUCGAUCCCCGACCUGAAACUCUAAGGGAUUUCGCCGUUUAUCGGCGUAACUCUUUUGUCGGUCGUGCGAUGCUUGUAAUCAAGCUCUGAUUUGAACUAUCUUUUCCUUGGUUUCACGAAUGAUCUCCGGUCCCGUUAGCACCUUGUCCGAUGCUAGUGUCUUUGCUAGCUGGGUGUCGCCCACCUCAGCCCAACACAAUGGUGAUCUACACUUACGUCCAUAUAGUGCUUCGAAAGGAGCGACUUUGAUGCUCGAAUGGUAACUGUUAUUAUAAGAGAAUUCAACUAAGGGUAAGUGGAUGUCCCAAGACUUCCCAAANACAUAACGGUGAUCUACACUUACGCCCGUAUAGUGCUUCGAAAGGAGCGACCUUGAUGCUCGAAUGGUAACUGUUGUUAUAUGAGAAUUCGACUAAAGGUAAGUGGGUAUCCCAAGACUUCCCAAAGUCUAUCACACAUGCGCGAAGAAUGUCUUCAAGCGUUUGAAUGGUUCGUUCGCUUUGACCGUCCGUUUGUGGGUGAUAAGCGGUGCUCAUGUCGAGGUGGGUUCCGAGUGCUUUCUGGAGUGAUUGCCAAAAACGUGAAGUGAAUCUACUGUCUCUAUCUGAGAUAAUAGACACUGGUAUUCCAUGAAGUCUCACGAUUUCUCGAAUGUAUAAACGCGUCAGUCUCUCUAUCUUGUAGGAUUCUUUUAUUAGCAGGAAAUGAGCAGAUUUCGUCAGUCGGUCGACUAUUACCCAUAUGGUGUCUAGUCCAUCCAGCGUCUUGGGUAGCUUGGUCACAAAAUCCAUAAAAAUCCCUUCCCAUUUCCACUCAGGGAUCAUCGGUUGCUAUAAUAAUCCUGAGGGCUUCUGGUACUCCACCUUUACCAUGGCACAAGUAAGGCACUUACCAACAUAGGUGGCAAUUUCUGCCUUCAUGUUAGGCCACCAAUAGUGUUGUUUAAUAUCCAAAUACAUCUUGUCCGAGCCGGGAUGGAUGGAGUAUCGCGUUUUGUAAGCUUCCUUCAUGAAUACCUCCCUAAAUCCUCCGAGUUUAGGGACCCAAAUACGGUUCAUGAAAUGGUAUACUUCGUCCUCUCUCACUUCUAGGUUCUUUUCCAUUCCGCGUGAUGCUUCGCUUGCUCUGUUUUCCGUCUUCAUGGCAUCUGACUGGGCUACCCCGAUCUGAGUAGUUAGGUGAGAUUGGAUGGUUAUUGAGAGAGUUUUCGCACGAUGAUUAGAGUACUCCUUCCGACUCAACGCAUCAGCUACCACGUUGGCCUUGCCUGGGUGGUACUUGAUUUCACACUCGUAAUCGUUUAAUAAUUCAACCCAUCUUCGUUGCCUCAUAUUCAGCUCUUUCUGAUUCAAGAUAUGCUUGAGACUUUUGUGGUCCGUGAAGAUGAUGCACUUUGUACCAUAAAGGUAAUGCCUCUAAAUCUUCAGAGAAAAGACCACCGCUCCCAAUUCCAGAUCAUGGGUUGUAUAAUUCACUUCGUGUGUCUUUAGUUGGCGGGAUGCGUAAGCUAUCACCCUUCCACGCUGCAUGAGAACACAACCUAAGCUCUGAUUCGACGUGUCACAGAAGACCACGAAAUCUUCCGUUCCCUCCAGUAGAGAUAGUACCGGGGCACUACAGAGGGCUUGCUUCAGGGUUCCGAAUGCGACUUCUUGUUUGUCUGUCCAUUUGAAUGGUACGCCAUUUUGUGUAAGUGAGGUAAGUGGCUUGGCGAUCUUUGAGAAGUUUUGAAUGAACCUCAUAUAGUAGCCUGCUAGGCCUAUGAAUUGGCGAAUUUAUAUGGGUGUUGUCGGGACUGCCCAUCCUUCGACGGCUUUGACCUUGGAAGGAUCCACAUGAAUUCCUUCUUGACUAACAACAUGACUUAGGAAGUUCACACUACGGAGCCAGAACUCACACUUGGAAAGUUUUGCGUAUAGCUUUUCUGAUCGCAGAGUUUCUAGGAUUUGUCGGAGAUGUUGGCCAUGCUCUUCCUCGCUUCGGGAAUAGACGAGAACGUCGUCAAUGAAGACGAUGACAAAGUUGUCGAGGAAUGGUCGACAGAUUUGGUUCAUCAGAUCCAUAAAUGCGGCAGGGGCAUUUGUUAGACCGAAGGGCAUUAUGACAAAUUCAUAAUGUCCGUAACGAGUUCGGAAAGCGGUUUUAGGAAUAUCCUCUUCCCGGACUUUGAGUUGAUGGUAUCUGGACCGUAGAUCUAUCUUAGAAAAGUAACUAGCUCCUUGGAGCUGAUCAAAAAGAUCGUCGAUUCGUGGGAGUGGAUAGCGAUUUUUGACGGUGAGUUUGUUUAAUUCUCUGUAAUCGAUGCACAUCCUAAAAGAUCCGUCCUUCUUUUUGACAAAUAGGGCCGAAGCUCCCCAUGGCGAGUAGCUGGGUCAGAUGAAUCCCUUGCCCAGGAGUUCACUGAGUUGACUGGACAAUUCCUGCAUUUUAGCAGGAGCUAGCCGGUAGGGCGAUUUAGCGAGAGGGGUUGUUCCUGGUACGAGGUCAAUUCGGAACUCAACUUGUCUCUCUGGGGGUACUCCAAGAAGAUCUUCAGGAAAUACGUCUGGGAAUUCACGUGCUAUGGGAAUGUCUUGAAUGUUAACCUCUUCCUUGGUUUUAUCCACUAUGUGAGCCAGAAACGUCAAAUCGUUCUUUCGUAGAUGCUUUUGUGCCUGGAAAUAGAAAAGUCAAAAAGAAAGAGGACUGGUGAGCACAAAUGGGGGCCAUAAGGCCCUUUAAAUAGGCCCCAAACCCGAGAAAUUAGGGUUUCAUUUGUCACACCCCAAAACCACGAACGGCGGAAACGUUCAGGGGUGGAGGACGUCGUGGACAGUAUCACAACAGUGUAAUAUAAUAAACAAGCAACAACAUCAUCCAUUGCAUUAUAAGUAGAGUUUUAAUACAUGUGUGUAAUUCCAUAAUGUACAACAAUAAUAUGAAUAAUCAAAAUAAGGCGAGUCUUGCCUGUGCUCCAUCUUCUCAAAAAUCUGGUCAUCGCACCUGUCUAACUGAUGACUUCAGAAUACAAGUUAUUUUGAAAGCGAGUAUCAGCUUUAAAGCUGGUGAAUUCAUAAGUAAUUAAGGUGUCAUUGUCUGGCUUAUGAAAAUCUACUAUGAAGGCCAUGUAAACCUUUAAUGAAAAUGUUGAUGUAAGCAUGAAAAACCCUAAAAAAUCCCUUGUUUUCUAUAAGUAUGAAAUGUAGUCUUCUACCAAGACCCGAAUGUUUUGUUAUGACAAUGUAGUCUUCUACCAAGACCCGAAUGUUUUGUAAGUAAAAUGAUAGUUUUUCCUUCAAUUGUUUAGUACUAAAGUACUUAGUCUAACUCAUCGUUUAUGUGAAAGUAUCACAAAAUAAAGUAAACAGGAAAAUGUACUACUGUAAGUGUUGUCACUGGGUACUAGGACUAACACAACAUCGCAUUAAGCGAAAGGUAUAACCUAAUGAACAUCCGAAGAUUGUCCAGAACAAGUAUUAACGUAAGUUCUACUACUGUAAGUGUUGUCACUGGGUACUAGGACUAACACAACAUCGCAUUAAGCGAAAUAUGUAACCUAAUGAACAUCCGAAGAUUGUCCAGAAAAAGUAUUAAUGUAAGUGUCAUCGCUGGGUACUAGGAGUAACACAACAUCGCAAUAAGCGAAAGGUAUAACCUAAUGAACAAUCGAAGAUUGUCCACUUGUCCUCUGUAGCAGCAGUAGGUGGGUGGAGGGGUUAGCCCCGGUUAUCGAUCUACCUAGUAUAAGUAGUAACCUUAGACCUCCGUAGAUGGUCAUCGACCACUGGUGCUAAUCAGUGGGGUUCGGAAUGGUAAGUCCCGCCGAGAUAUCCCAUUGAACCGGGAUAGGAAAGAUAAUUUACACAGAAAGUACUAAUAAAUCAUCCUCGUAGUUCUAAGUACAAGUAUCCAGGUAAGUGAAUACAGGAUAAUGCACCUAUGUAAAAGUGUUCCUGUAUGGUAUUCAUGUAUGUGUGUCCAUGUAACAGGUAAGUAUAUGUAAACAUAUUCAUGUAUCAGGUAAACAUCUGUAAGUACUCAUGUAUCAGGUAAUGUACUAGUAUAGACUCAUGAAUGAACUGACUCUUGUGUGAUUCCUUGUAAUAGAAGUAAUGUUUGAUAUCUUCAAAUUAUCCCUAUGAUAAUUUACUGUAAUAUAACUGGUUGAUCAUGUAGGUUUAUACACUCUUACUACUCAAGGGUGUGGGAAACUAAAUGAAAGAUGUAAACUAUAACAUCAAUACAUAUAUAAGAAUAUAAGUGUAUAUGCAUAGUUUAGUUCAAGAAUGUAAAAUGGUUUUGUAAGACAUCUUAUGGGUUUUGAACAAUAAUUAACAAUGACUUGAUGUCAUUUUAAUAAACAUUUCAAAAGUAAAACAUUUGAUAACAAUGUAUUUUUAAGAUUUAAAACCAUUUCAUGCAUCACAUUUUGUAGUAUGUGAAAUCUGUUAAAUGACAAACACAGUUAUAAAAUACAUAUCAAUGAUUUAAUAACAUGUUUGUUUCUACUUGUAUUCCCCCCAUUAAAGCAUUUAAAAUCAUUUAAAACAUUGAUUAGGGGUAUGAACUCACCUGUAGUUGGUGAUUGGGAUGAACUGAACGGUAUAGGAUUGCUAGGUGUCAAGCGAGGACUUGUACACACACUACGAUCCUAAUGAACAUAUAAUCACACAUAUAUGCACUCAGUUAGUCUCAAAUCACUAAUUGAUAAUGUUAAGACAUCCUAGACAUAAUAAACACUUUAUAUAAGUGUUUUAAGCCCUAAGGAUUUCAUCUAAGCUAAUGUGGGACAAGGCACUUGUGUUUAGGGUUCCAAAGGACCCCAUAUAUGAGUUUACUCCCCAUAUACCAUCACACAUGGAGUUUACGGUUGUAAACUCUUGAGUUUACGGCCGUAAACUCCCAACCAUGGGUGUAUUGUGUGUUUUGAAGUUCCAAAUGAUUCCUAGAAUUAUUCCAACUUGGUGGUUAAAUUCUUGGAAGGGUUUAAGGUCUAGAAACACUCCAUUUAGGAGUUUACGGCCCCAAGGCCAUUUCCCUUGGAGUUUACGGUUGUAAACUCCCUUGGGGUGUUGUUUUUGUCGUUUUCAUGCCUCAUGCAUAAGUGGGAUAAUUUCUAAGCAUUUGUUUAAAGCUAAUGAGGACUCUAGGCACACUUUGGUGCCAUUGUUUGGUCUUUACGGCCUAGGAGCAUUACCAAGGCCGUAAACUCACUUCAAGAGGUGAUUUUGAUGUGGUUUUGUCCGUAAAUUAAGUGGGAAACAAUUCCAUGUAAAGGUCUAGGGCUUUAGGUGUCUUAAAAGCACCCUUUGGUCCAUUUCUAUGGAGUUUACGGCCUAAGAUGCACUUGGGCCGUGAACUCCCAUGUGUUUGUGUUAUUUGAUUGUUUUCUUGUCCUUAAUACACCUACAAUUGAGUCUAAGGCAGUAGCAUAACACAAGGGUCGGUCUAGGCUUUGUUUCGGGAGUUUACCGCCCAAGAACACCUUGGGGAGUAAACUCCUAAAUCUAGUGAUUUAGCCUUCUAAAUCAUGUUAUUAACACAUAUAAAGCUUUCUAACACUACUAGAAAGAGGUACUCAUGAUUUGGGAUAAAAACCUGAAGAUCCGUGAGAGAGAAAAUGGCUUUUCUCUAGUUGGAAAUGCGAAUAAUGAAUGAAUUUGGUUUAGAAUUCUAUUUAUAGUCCUGAGAUAUUUUUGGCAGAAAAUAUUUUUAUUCCUGAAAUGAUCUCUAAUAUAAUAGAGUGUUGGAAUAACAGUGUUGCACAAAACCCUAGUGCACCCACUCUCCUGAUAUCUCUUUAAGUGUAAAUCCUGAAAACUGCCAAACUUAUACCCGUAGUCUGGAAUUUCCCUGAAACUGUUCUAAGCUCUAUUGUCUUGAUAUAGGUUGUUCAAAAUGGAAAUUUCGGGUUGUCACAUCAUUAAACAAUGCAGACUCGCCGAGUCCACCAAUGCGACUCGUCGAGUCCGGUCAAUAAUCCGGGUGAGAAAUCGCGUCUCUACUCGGCGAGUCUACGCACCAACUCGCCGAGUUCUUCCACAAAACUCAAAAUAAAAAGAAUAAAUCUAAUACCUGGAAUUCCGGAUGUUACAAUUCUCCCCCACUUUGAUCUAUCUUCGCCCUCGAAGUCUCAUUCCUAAAAUAGCUCCGGAUGCUGCUCCCGCAUCUCACGCUCUGGCUCCCAGGUCAACUCGGAUCCCUUCCGAUGUUGCCACUAAACCUGUACCAGAGACACCUCCUUGUUCCUCAUAACCUUGAUUUUCCGAUCCACAAUCACAACUGGUCUCUCCGCGUAGUUCAGGCUUGGAUCUACCUGAAUGUCCCCUAACGGCACUACCGCCGACUCGUCGGCUAUACACUUCCUCAACUGAGACACAUGGAAGGUAAUAUGAAUCUGCUCCAAUUCCGUAGGUAGCUCCAAACGAUAUGCUACCCUGCCCGCUCUCGCGAUCACUCUGAACGGCCCAAUAUAUCGGGGCCCUAGCUUGCCCCUCUUCCUGAAUCAGAUCACUCCUUUCCAAGGAUAUACCUUCAAGAGAACAUAAUCACCGACCUGGAACUCGAGCUCGGAUCGACGCCUAUCCGCAUAACUCUUCUGGCGGCUCUGAGCGGUCAACAAUCUCUACCUGACCCACUGUAUCUGCUCUGUUGUCUGAAGUACAAUCUCUAUGCUACCCAUAACACGCUGCCCGACCUCGCCCCAGCAAAUGGGGGUCCUACACCUCCUCCCAUACAACAGCUCAAAGGGUGGCAUACCAAUGCUUGAAUGAUGACUGUUGUUGUAGGAAAACUCUGCCAAGUGCAAAUGCGUGUCCCAACUCCCCCCAAAGUCCAACACACAUGCCCGGAGCAUGUCUUCGAGCGUUUGAAUCGUCCGCUCACUCUGUCCGUCAGUCUGGGGGUGAUAUGCGGUACUAAAAUGCAGCCUAGUACCCAACUCCUCGUGAAACUUCUUCCAGAAUCUGGAAGUGAAACGCACAUCUCGGUCUGAAACAAUCGAGAUCGGCACUCCAUGUCGUGAUACCACUUCCCUCACGUACAUCUCUACUACUUUCUCCGCGGAAGAACUCUCACUGAUAGCAAGGAAGUGGGCACUCUUUGUCAACCUGUCCACAAUCACCCAAAUUGCAUCGAAUCCCCUAGCAGUCCUUGGCAAUUUGGUGAUAAAAUCCAUGGUAAUCUGUUCCCACUUCCAUUCGGGAACCUCCAACGGCUGCAACUUACCAUGCGGUCUCUGGUGCUCGGCCUUAACCCUACGGCAGGUUAAGCACCUCUCAACAAACCACGCAACAUCCCUCUUCAUACAGGGCCACCAAUACUCUCUCCUCAGGUCCAAAUACAUCUUAGUGGCCCCAGGAUGGAUCGAGAAUUUCGACCGAUGAGCCUCUUCCAUCAAAAUGGUACGCGUCCCUCCCACAAACGGUACCCAUAUACGCCCCAGAAAUGUCAUAAGCCCCCGACCAUCGGUAACGAACUCCGAUACCAACCCAACAACUUGUUCUCUCUUCUGGUUCUCCGAUCUCACGGCCUCAGCCUGUGCUCCACGAAUGGUGUCCAACACCGGAGCCAUCACGGUCAAUCGCAAACAUACAUCUCGCAAUGGGGCGCUCUCCGCCCUGCGACUCAGGGCGUCGGCUACCACAUUAGCCUUGCCCGGAUGGUACAGGAUCUCACAAUCAUAAUCCUUGACCACAUCCAACCACCUCCUCUGCCGCAUAUUUAGGUUGGGCUGAUCCAUCAAAUACUUCAGGCUCUUAUGGUCCGUGUAUAUCGUACACCGAACCCCAUACAGAUAGUGACGCCAAAUUUUGAGGGCGAACACCACUGCCCCCAACUCUAGAUCAUGGGUGGGAUACCUCGUCUCAUGAGGCUUCAGCUGCCUCGAUGCGUAUGCUAUCACAUGCCCUCUCUGCAUCAGCACCGCUCCCAACCCCAAGAUCGACGCAUCACAGUAUACCACAAAGUCCUCCAUCCCCUCCGGGAGGGCUAACACCGGGGCUUCGCAUAACCUUUGGCGAAGCGUCUCAAAGGAGGCCUGCUGCUCGGGGCCCCAUGANAAAUUUCCAUUCUGUACAAACUAUAUCACUUCAAUAGAAGUUAUAGCAGUCACUGUUAAUUUUCAGACUUUUUCGCAUAAGUUUGAGUAAUUCAGGGUUUACACUUCAGGAAAUAUCAGGAGAGUGGGUGCACUAGGGUUUUGUGCAACACUGUUAUUCCAACACUCUAUUAUAUUAGAGACCAUUUCAGGAAUAAAAAUAUUUCCUGCCAAAAAUAUUUCAGGACUAUAAAUAGAUUUCUGAACCAAAUUCAUUCAUUAUUCACAUUUCCAACUAGAGAAAAGCCAUUUUCUCUCUCACGGAUCUUCAGGUUUUUAUACGAAAACAUGAGUAACUCUUUCUAGUAGUGUUAGAAUGCUUACUAUGUGCUCAUAACAUGAUUUAGAUGGCUAAAUCAUUAGGUCUAGGUGUUUACUCCCCAAGGUGUUCUUGGGCGGUAAACUCUCGAAACGAAGCCAAAACCAACCCUUGUGUUAUACAACUGCCUUAGACUCAAUUGUAGGUGUAUUAAGGACAAGAAAACAACCAAAAUCCACCCAAGUUUGGGAGUUUACGGCCCAAGAAUAUCAUAGGCCGUAAACUCCAUUUUCAAACUCAAAAUGGCACUUUUAAGGCUCCUAAAGCCUUAGACAAUUACCUAGACUUGUUCCCAUUUAAUCAAGGGCUUGAACCACAUCAAAAUCACUUAACAAAGUGAGUUUACGGCCAAGACAUGGUUCUUGGGCCGUAAACUCCUAAAAGGGGCACCAAAGUGUGCCUAAUGCCUUCAUAUGCUUGGAAUAAAAGUCUAGAACCUAUACCACAAGUGAAAAAGACUUGAAAGCAUCAAAAACACACCAUACUUAGAGUUUACGGCCGUAAACUCUAAGGGGAAUGGCCUUUGGGCUGUAAACUCCUAAAUGGAGUGUUUCUAGACCUUAAACCCUUCCAAGAAUUUAACCACCAAGUUAGAAUAAUUCUAGGAAUCAUUUGGGACUUCAAAACACACCAAAUCCCCAUGGUUGGGAGUUUACAGCGUUAAACUCAAGAGUUUACAACCGUAAACUCCAUGUGUGAUGGUAUAUGGGGAGUAAACUCACAUAUAGGGUCCUUUGGAACCCUAAACACAAAUACCUUGUCCCACAAUAGCUUAGAUGCAAUCCUUAAGGCUUAAAACACUUAUGUAAAGUGUUUAUUAUGUCUAGGAUGUCUUAACAUUAUCAAUUAGUGAUUUGAGUCUAAUUGAGUGCAUAUAUGUGUGAUUAUAUGUUCGUUAGGAUCGUAGUGCGUGUACAAGUCCUCGCUAGACACCUAGCCAUCCUAUACCGUUCAGUUCAUCCCAAUCACCAACUACAGGUGAGUUCAUACCCCUAAUCAAUGUUUUAAAUGAUUUUAAAUGCUUUAAAGGGGGGAAUACAAGUAGAAACAAACAUGUUAUUAAAUCAUUGAUAUGUAUUUUAUAACUGUGUUUGUCAUUUAACAGAUUUCACAUACUACAAAAUGUGACGCAAGAAAUGGUUUUAAAUCUUAAAAACACAUUGUUAUCAAAUGUUUUACCUUUGAAAUGUAUAUUAAAUUGACAUCAAGUCAUUGUUAAUUAUUGUUCAAAACCCAUAAGAUGUCUUACAAAACCAUUUUACAUUCUUGAACUAAACUAUGCAUAUACACUUAUAUUCUUAUAUAUGUAUUGAUGUUAUAGUUUACAUCUUUCAUUUAGUUUCUCACACCCUUGAGUAGUAAGAGUGUAUAAACCUACUUGAACAACCAAUUACCUUUCAGUAAAUUAUCAUAGGGAUAAUUUGAAGAUAUCAAACAUUAUUCCUAUUACAAGGAAUCACACAAGAGUCAGUUCAUUCAUGAGUCUAUACCAGUACAUUACCUGAUACAUGAGUACAUUUACAUAUGAUUACAUGAUACAUGAGUACGUUUACAUAUGCUUACAUGAUACAUGAAUACGCUUACAUGAACACAUUACAUGAGUACCUUGACGUAGAUACACUUACCUGUGUAUAUUAACAUGAAUACUUGUAUCUCGAAUUGCGAGGAUGAUUUAUUAGUACCUUCUGUGUAAAUCUUCCUGCCUAUCCCUAGUACCUCGGGAUAUCUAGACAGGACCCUAUCCCUAGUACCUCGGGAUAUCUAGACGGGACCCUAUCCCUAGUACCUCGGGAUAUAUGGACGGGACUAACCAUUCCGGAACCCAGCUGUUAGCAACAGUGGGUGAUGAACAUCUACGGAUGCCUACGGUUAUUACUUAUACUAGGAGUACCUUUACGGGACUAACCCUUCCUCCGCCCUGCUGCUGCUACAGAGGACAAUUGGACAAUCUUCGGAUGUUCAUUAGGUUAUAUAUGUCGUGUUAGCCCUAGUACCUCGGGAUAACAUUUACAUAUGUCGUGUUAGCCCUAGUACCUCGGGAUAACACUUACUUUAGUAUAUUUUCCUAUUUACUUUAUUUUGUGAUAGGUUAUACGUUUCGCUUUACGCGAUGGCGUGUUAGCCCUAGUACCUCGGGAUAACACUUACAUUAAUACUUUUUCCUAUUUACUUUAUUUUGUGAUAUAUUCACAUAAACGAUGAGUUAGACUAAGCACUUUUAGUACUAGUCAAUAGAAAGGAAAAACUAUCAUUUUACUUACAAAACAUUCGGGUCUUGGUAGAAGACUACAUAGUCAUAACAAAACAUUCGGGUCUUGGUAGAAGACUACAUAGUCAUAACAAAACAUUCGGGUCUUGGUAGAAGACUACAUAGUCAUAACAAAACAUUCGGGUCUUGGUAGAAGACUACAUUGUCAUAACAAAACAUUCGGGUCUUGGUAGAAGACUACAUUGUCAUAACAAAACAUUCGGGUCUUGGUAGAAGACUACAUUGUCAUAACAAAACAUUCGGGUCUUGGUAGAAGACUACAUCUCAAACUGAUAGAAAAUAAGGGAUUUUCUAGGGCUUUUCAUACUUAUAUCAACAUUUUCAUUUAAAGGUUUACAUGACUUUUAAAACAGCUUUUCAAAGCAAGACAAUGACACUUAAAUACUUAUGAAUUCACCAGCUUUAAAGCUGAUACUCUCUUUCAAAAUAACUUGUAUUCUCAGGUCAUCAGUAGACAGGUACGGUGGCCAGGUUUUGAGAAGACGGAGCAGACAAGUCUCGUCUUUUAUUUUGAUUGUAUAUUUUUGGUGUCUUAUUACAAUGAAAGAACACACAUGUAUUAAAACUUUACUUAUAAUGCAAUGGAUGAUGUUGUUGCUUGUUUAUUAUAUUACACUGUUGUGAUACUGUACAUGACGUCCUCCACCCCUGAACGUUUCCGCCGUUCGUGGUUUUGGGGUGUGACAGAUUGGUAUCAGAGCAUUGUUUAUAGUGAAUAUAGUAUAUCAACCCAUAAAAGAUAUACUAACUAUAAAUACAUCGGGAUUAAAACACUCUGUCUCAGAGUUAUACUUUUAAAUAAUAAAAUAUUUAACAAAGUAUACGUGCCUGCAUUCAUACUAAAAUCAGUGUCACAAUGACAAGAACAAAAGUAUUACGAUUGUUGAAUAUCACAAGUAAGCCUGGGGAUAUAUGGUCAGUCUUGGGAAUGGCAUAGCCUGAUCAACUAUGCUGGUCCGAGGAGUGAUUAGAAUAUGCCCAAGAAUGGUUGUGAUAUGGCAACAAGUCUAAAAACUUACCAACACAACCAUAAAGAAAUACCAUAUGGGUAUUUGGUCUUACUGUAAUUAUCUUAGUUAGUUCGUCUAUUUUAGCUAUUUCUUAUAUCCCUUUUCUCGCGUAGAUUAAAAUGGCUGGAUUUCACCAUGGCGAUCCGUACUUCCCAAACCAAGGCAAUGCUGGUUGGCUAGAGGCUGAACCAGAAGAUGAUCACCCAAUUCCUUUGGAUGAUCACCAUGCUGAGGGUUUUUCUGAUAGUUCUGACUCGGAGCCAGAAGUCAACAACCUACCCCCAAAUGCUCAAAACCCAAACCUGAACCCCCGCCCUGUGUUUCAAGGACCCACACCUCUGUGGGCCACUAACUUGAUUACAUGGAGUCAUGAACAGGGUCAGCCCAUUCCCUACAAUGGAGACCGAAGUUUCUACAACCUCACUGAAGGAGGUUCUGCUGAUAGAGUCCUACCAAUCAUGGUGCGUAGGAUUUCUCGGAACUCGAUAAUGGCUCAGGCGACUAUCAAUCAAGUCUUGGAAGUUGACACCAACUCUGGUGUUAACAUUGUCCAUAUUCGCCAACUAGAGUCUGCACAUGAAAGGACUCUGGUCUGCAAUGCAAAUCUGCAAAGAGAACUUGCUGAAACCCAAGCUGAAGUUAGAGAACUUGGAGCUCAGCAAGCAAGNGCAAGCAAGGUCGGACAGGCGUAUAAGGGACAUUGAACGUCUACUGUCGGGAUCGAGGACUCAUGCUAGCAGUUCUCGUCGCCGAUAGAAUCUCGUCGACUCAUCUUUUGGAUAUAACCUAGUUUAUGUAAAACUUUGGUCUAAUUUCCUAUCUGUAUAAAUCUUAGACCUGUUAGGUCUUGAUCUAGUCUUAAUUCUGUCAAAAUUUUCCAUCUUGGUUGAUGUAAGGCCUACUUCUAGGCCAUUUUUCCCGAACUUGUUACAUCUGUAAUUCCAGUAUUAUUGACGGAUAUCUAAUCUAAUGGAAAUUAUUAUCCAAAUGCUAUCUUCUUCAUUUAGUGAUACUAUUCUUUCUGUUGUUGGGCUAUGGGGAUUUAGUCCAUGAGACACAUUCAUUAAUCAUUUAUUCUUAUCCAUUUCGUCAUCUUUUCAACGUAUAGUUAAAGAUGCCGCCACGCAGGAAUCCAAGGCGAAACCCAAACAACGAAGCACCAAUACCACCACCUCCACCACCACCUGAACCUCUACAAUCACCAAAUCCUUUUGAUGCCAACAUGUUCCAGGAAGCUUUCACAGCAGCAGUUGCAGCUACUAUGUCAGCAAUCAAUUCUCCUGCCCCUAGUGGAUCAGGAACAGGUGCACCACCCUCGAACCACGGCGAAAGCCAUGGACACCCUCGGGAAUGCACCUACAAGGACUUCACUAACGCCAAACCCCGCAGCUUCAAUGGAACUGGGGGUGUAAUGGUGUUGAGACAAUGGAUUGAAAAGAUGGAAUCUGUCUUUGAAAUCUGUGCUUGCCAGGAGGGCAACAAGGUCAAGUUUGCAGCUUGUACCUUCUCUGACAGAGCACUAACAUGGUGGAACAGCCAUG